This 500-nucleotide ribosomal RNA is filed under the name uncultured bacterium. RNAcentral describes it as "partial 16S ribosomal RNA". It matches the Rfam family "Bacterial small subunit ribosomal RNA", at positions 30 to 523 of the family's 1533-position model. The record is from RNAcentral.
AUUGAACGCUGGCGGCAUGCUUUACACAUGCAAGUCGAACGGCAGCACGGACUUCGGUCAGGUGGCGAGUGGCGAACGGGUGAGUAAUACAUCGGAACGUGCCCAGUCGUGGGGGAUAACGUAGCGAAAGCUACGCUAAUACCGCAUACGAUCUAAGGAUGAAAGCGGGGGAUCGCAAGACCUCGCGCGAUUGGAGCGGCCGGUGGCAGAUUAGGUAGUUGGUGGGGUAAAGGCCUACCAAGCCGACGACCUGUAGCUGGUCUGAGAGGAUGAUCAGCCACACUGGGACUGAGACACGGCCCAGACUCCUACGGGAGGCAGCAGUGGGGAAUUUUGGACAAUGGGCGCAAGCCUGAUUCAGCAAUGCCGCGUGAGUGAAGAAGGCCUUCGGGUUGUAAAGCUCUUUUGUCAGGGAAGAAAAAGUCGUGGCUAAUAUCCACGACUGCUGACGGUACCUGAAGAAUAAGCACCGGCUAACUACGUGCCAGCCGCCGCCGUAA